RNAcentral lists this long non-coding RNA (768 nucleotides) under Vigna radiata. RNAcentral describes it as "long non-coding RNA (VRAD_LNC002963)". Lineage: Eukaryota; Viridiplantae; Streptophyta; Magnoliopsida; Fabales; Fabaceae. The record is from RNAcentral.
AAAGAUGUAAUAAUUCCUUUUAUUCUAAAAGCAAAAGAAAAUCCUAAUAUCCUACAUCAUGAAGCAUGACACCUCCUCCUUCUCUCUUCUUGAAAAACAUGUGCCUCCAAUUUGUAGCAUCAGACCGUGAUUCCUUCGCUGCAGCCCAUAAGCCGUGACACUUCCAACUCUCUCCAAUUGAAUCACUUUACUUGCUUGAAUGCAAAUAUAAAUUAAAGCUAACCAAUUGCCAACAUGCUCAUCCAAACAAACUAAUCUACUUCUCCAACAUUCAAUCAUUUAAAAAGUAAUAUUUUUUUUUCUCAAAUAAAGUUGCAUAACAACUCAUUCCAGCAGCGUCGUUCUUCAUCUCCAGAGGACACGUUCCAAAAAAAAAAGAAAUGAAAAAGAAAUCUACAGAGUAAGUGGCGGCUAAAUGAAAGCAAAAAGGGAAUCCUCCUUUAUAUUGAUUGAAUCAGCGUUGCAAGUUGAACUAACUAAUACNAUUGCUAAAAGAAAAGAAAAGAAAAUAUACUUCACCCUCAUCCAUAAUCCAAUAAUGUAAACAUGGUUUUUUUAAGAACAAGCUCUCUAAAAAUUUGUUUCCAGCCGAGAGUCUCCAAUUUCAAUGUGACGGCUGCUUCCCUUAAAUCUAAGCCAAAUGUCCUCAAAAAUAAGGGUGGGGUCCAUCUCCUUUGCAAAACCCUAGGUGUCAUGUGUCAUCUAUUCUAACAUUUUGGGCUUAAACUAUUUUAUCAAAAAUUGGCCCAUUAUUUACAAAUUUAAUUA